ACAUGCAAGUCGAACGAAUCUCUUUUAGAGAUGAGUGGCGAACGGGUGAGUAAUACAUAGGUAACCUGCCCCUGUGCGGGGGAUAACAGGAGGAAACUCCUGCUAAUACCGCAUAGCCAUGAGCACCGCAUGGAGCUCAUGCCAAAUAUCCUUUCGGGGAUAGCGCAGGGAUGGACCUAUGGCGCAUUAGCUUGUUGGCGGGGCAACGGCCCACCAAGGCAACGAUGCGUAGCCGGCCUGAGAGGGCGGACGGCCACAUUGGGACUGAGACACGGCCCAGACUCCUACGGGAGGCAGCAGUAGGGAAUUUUCGGCAAUGGGGGAAACCCUGACCGAGCAACGCCGCGUGAGCGAAGAAGGCCUUCGGGUCGUAAAGCUCUGUUGUAAAGGAAGAACGGCGCAUACAGGAAAUGGUAUGCGAGUGACGGUACUUUACCAGAAAGCCACGGCUAACUACGUGCCAGCAGCCGCGGUAAUACGUAGGUGGCGAGCGUUAUCCGGAAUCAUUGGGCGUAAAGAGGGAGCAGGCGGCCGCAAGGGUCUGUGGUGAAAGACCGAAGCUAAACUUCGGUAAGCCAUGGAAACCGGGCGGCUAGAGUGCGGAAGAGGAUCGUGGAAUUCCAUGUGUAGCGGUGAAAUGCGUAGAUAUAUGGAGGAACACCAGUGGCGAAGGCGACGGUCUGGGCCGCAACUGACGCUCAUUCCCGAAAGCGUGGGGAGCAAAUAGGAUUAGAUACCCUAGUAGUCCACGCCGUAAACGAUGGUCACUAAGUGUCGGGGGUCAAACCCCGGUGCUGCAGUCAACGCAAUAAGUGACCCGCCUGAGUAGUACGUUCGCAAGAAUGAAACUCAAAGGAAUUGACGGGGGCC
This 870-nucleotide ribosomal RNA is filed under the name human gut metagenome. RNAcentral's name for it is "bacterial SSU rRNA". It matches the Rfam family "Bacterial small subunit ribosomal RNA", at positions 53 to 921 of the family's 1533-position model. The record is from RNAcentral.